Molecule: transfer RNA, 71 nt
Filed under: Planctomycetaceae bacterium
Lineage: Bacteria; Pseudomonadati; Planctomycetota; Planctomycetia; Planctomycetales; Planctomycetaceae
Description: tRNA-Gln
Rfam family: tRNA
About the family: Transfer RNA (tRNA) molecules are approximately 80 nucleotides in length. Their secondary structure includes four short double-helical elements and three loops (D, anti-codon, and T loops).
Source: RNAcentral
UGCCUGGUAGUGUAAUGGUAGCACAAAUGAUUCUGGUUCAUUUAGUUGGGGUUCGAGUCCCUGCCGGGCAA